CCUACGGGUGGCUGCAGUGGGGAAUAUUGGGCAAUGGAGGCAACUCUGACCCAGCAAUGCCGCGUGAAUGAAGAAGGUCUUCGGAUUGUAAAGUUCUUUAAGCAGGGACGAAGAAGAUGACGGUACCUGAGGAAUAAGCCACGGCAAACGAUGUGCCAGCAGCCGCGGUAAGACAUAGGUGGCAAGCGUGGUCCGGAAUGACUGGGCGUAACGGGAGCGUAGGCGGUCUGUUAAGGUUGAAGUGAAAUCCCGGGGCUCAACCCCGGAACUGCUUUCAAGACUGACGGACUUGAGUGUACGAGGGGUAAGCGGAAUUCCUAGUGUAGCGGUGUAAUGCGUAGAUAUUAGGAGGAACACCAGUGGCGAAGGCGGCUUACUGGCUUAUCACUGACGCUGAGGCUCGAACGCGUGGGUAGCAAACAGGAUUAGAUACCCCAGUAGUC
RNAcentral lists this ribosomal RNA (443 nucleotides) under uncultured bacterium. RNAcentral's name for it is "partial 16S ribosomal RNA". It matches the Rfam family "Bacterial small subunit ribosomal RNA", at positions 338 to 795 of the family's 1533-position model. The record is from RNAcentral.